GAACACUUCCAGGGAUGGGGCAUCCACAACCUCUCUGGGCAGCCUGUGCCAGCACCUCACCACUCAUAGUAAAGAACUUCUCCCUGAUAUCCAACCUAAAUCUUCACUCCCUCAUCUUAAAACCAUUUCCCCUUGUCCUGUCAUUACCUACCCUUGUAAAGAGCUGACUGCCCUCCUGUUUAUAGGCUCCCUUCAGGUACUGGAAGGCUGCAAUGAGGUCAUCCCGCAGCCUUCUCUUCUCCAGGCUGAACAAGCCCGGCUCCCUCAGCCUGUCUUUGUAGGGGAGGUGCUGCAGCCCUCUGAUCAUCUUUGUGGCCCUCCUCUGGACCCUCUCCAACAGCUCUCUGUCUUUCUUGUAUUGGGGGCCCAGACCUGGACACAGUACUCGAGAGUGGGCCUCACGAGGACAAAGUAGAGAGGGAGGCAAUGUGUAUGCUCUGCCUCUCGUGGAGAGGGCUUAGGUAUUAAUGAUGCAGCAGAAAGGAAUCAGAAUCCUAGGACUGUUUGAGUUGAAUCCUUUAAAGGUCAUCUGCUUCAAUUCCUCUGCAACAAACAGGGAAACCCACAGCUCCGUGAGGUGCUCAGAGCCCCAUCCAUCAUCACCUUCAGUGUCUCCAGGGCAACCACCUCUCUGGGCAACCUGUGCCAGCACUUCACCACCCUUAGCAUAAAAAGCUUCUUCCAUAUAUCCAAUCUAAAUUUCCCCUCUUUUAGUUUGAAACAAUUUCUCUUUGUCCUCUCACAACAGACCCUGCUAAAGAGUCUGUCCUCUUCUGUCUUAUACCCCCCUUUAGAUACUGGAAGACUCUUACCCAGCCACAGGCGUAGCAUUUGUUUUGCUAAGAACUGAGGGGAUGCCCCUCGUUUUGUCUGUUCACUGGGGAAUUAUUCAAGAGCUGUGUGCUAUUGAUGUGGCCUUGAGGAGCGUUGGGAAGGGAUUGCAUGCGAUAACCAGAAUGAAGUGAAAAGCGUUAAUUAGUGUAAUUAUUUGGUGGAGCAGAACUCUUUUGUCAGAACGAGCUGAGUUCAUUGGGAAGAUAACCCCGUUUGUAUUGUUUUGUUUUUAUUUACAGGAUCAGAGGCGGGCACUGAGCUCCAGGAACAUCCCUGCUGCUGUGAGGCCAACCUCCCCCACUGCGAUGUCCACGGGGAAAUAAGAGCAAACAGGCAUUGGCGUUGCUGUAGUGACUCUGAGGAGAGAACCAUCGCUUAGUUUGGCUAAGGCAGCUUUUUGACAGACCAACCUGCUCCGUGGAUAAUGAGCCUUUCCAGUCGUCCAUGAUUUAUUGUGAAAACAAAACACUGGAUAAAGUGCUGGGCAGACUGAGAAGGAAGACUUGCAGAGUGUUUGUACUUCCAUGGUGCACAAGGGAACCUGAGGCCGAGGAGGUGAAAUAAAUGCCCAGAGUCAGCUGGGCAAUGGGCAGAAGAGGACACCCAGGCCCUGUAUGCCCCGAACUGGAGAGGUAGCAGCGAGUGCUGUCAGAUGGAUAACCUGAAUUAGGCUGAUUUCUAAAGGAUCCUUUCACCAAAAGUCUUCUGUCAGAAGCAGACGUCAGGCAGCCCCCCCCGCCAGCUUCCUAAGCUUUCACACUGCCAGAGAGGAAUUGCUCUCUUUGACAAAGCUUUCAAAUCCAGUCAGGCUGAAUCUGCUUUCCCUUCUGGAUUUCAGUUAUUAACCAUUCUUUUUAUCUCUGGUGCAUCCAACCACCAUAUGUUCUUAAAUAAAGCCACUUUCCCCUUC
Molecule: long non-coding RNA, 1744 nt
Organism: Gallus gallus (chicken)
Lineage: Eukaryota; Metazoa; Chordata; Aves; Galliformes; Phasianidae
Exons: 2
Source: RefSeq, a predicted model, not a curated record